GUUUAUAUUGCAAAUGCGGCAAUGAAUGCGACUCGAAUCAUAACUGGAACAGGAACUUGCUGCUAUUAAAAUUUAUGAAUAAAAUAUUCUAAAUACUGAAAAUUAUUAGGAUAAUAUUUGUGUAUAUGUAAGAGAAUAAAUUGGUGACUUCUUCAGAAAUAUAAGGGAAUAUUCGAAAUAUUAUGUGAACUUGCUGCUAUUAAAAUUUAUGAAUAAAAUAUUCUAAAUACUGAAAAUUAUUAGUAUAAUAUAUGUAUAUAUGUAAGAGAAUAAAUUGGUGAGUUCUUCAGAAAUAUAAGGGAGUAUUCG
Molecule: long non-coding RNA, 309 nt
Organism: Aethina tumida (small hive beetle)
Lineage: Eukaryota; Metazoa; Arthropoda; Insecta; Coleoptera; Nitidulidae
Exons: 3
Source: RefSeq, a predicted model, not a curated record